CAAUGGGGGCAACCCUGAUCCAGCCAUGCCGCGUGUGUGAAGAAGGCUUUCGGGUUGUAAAGCACUUUCAGUGAGGAGGAAAACUCUGCGACUAAUACUCGUAGGGCUUGACGUUACUCACAGAAGAAGCACCGGCUAACUCCGUGCUAGCAGCCGCGGUAAUACGGAGGGUGCAAGCGUUAAUCGGAAUUACUGGGCGUAAAGCGUGCGUAGGCGGUUGUCUAAGUCAGAUGUGAAAGCCCCGGGCUCAACCUGGGAACUGCAUUUGAAACUGGGCAGCUAGAGUUUGGUAGAGGAAGGUAGAAUUCCUAGUGUAGCGGUGAAAUGCGUAGAUAUUAGGAGGAAUACCAGUGGCGAAGGCGGCCUUCUGGACCAAAACUGACGCUGAGGUGCGAAAGCGUGGGUAGCAAACAGGAUUAGAUACCCUGGUAGUCCACGCCGUAAACGAUGUCUACUAGCCGUUGGGACUCUUGAAGUCUUAGUGGCGCAGCUAACGCACUAAGUAGACCGCCUGGGGAGUACGGCCGCAAGGUUAAAACUCAAAUGAAUUGACGGGGGCCCGCACAAGCGGUGGAGCAUGUGGUUUAAUUCGACGCAACGCGAAGAACCUUACCUGGCCUUGACAUGCAGAGAACUUUCCAGAGAUGGAUUGGUGCCUUCGGGAACUCUGACACAGAUGCUGCAUGGCG
This 689-nucleotide ribosomal RNA is filed under the name Fe-oxidizing bacterium FO6. Its description in RNAcentral is "bacterial SSU rRNA". It matches the Rfam family "Bacterial small subunit ribosomal RNA", at positions 369 to 1050 of the family's 1533-position model. Lineage: Bacteria; Pseudomonadati; Pseudomonadota; Gammaproteobacteria. The record is from RNAcentral.